UUUCCGUAGGUGAACCUGCGGAAGGAUCAUUACAGUAGUCGCCCGGGUUGACGCAAGGCCUCCCGGGUAACCUACCACCCUUUGUUUAUUACACUUUGUUGCUUUGGCAGGCCUGCCCUCGGGCUGCUGGCUCCGGCCGGCGAGCGCUUGCCAGAGGACCUAAACUCUGUUUGUCUAUACUGUCUGAGUACUAUAUAAUAGUUAAAACCUUCAACAACGGAUCUCUUGGUUCUG
RNAcentral lists this unclassified non-coding RNA (234 nucleotides) under plant metagenome. Its description in RNAcentral is "partial contains small subunit ribosomal RNA, internal transcribed spacer 1, and 5.8S ribosomal RNA". The record is from RNAcentral.